Molecule: long non-coding RNA, 763 nt
Organism: Lotus japonicus
Lineage: Eukaryota; Viridiplantae; Streptophyta; Magnoliopsida; Fabales; Fabaceae
Exons: 3
Source: RefSeq, a predicted model, not a curated record
UUUUCGUGUGCUUGCUUCUGUAGUUCUUUCAUCUCUGUGUCUAUUUUUCUUUGCUUAUCUCCUCUUUCGUCUAGAUAAUUGAAACAAGAACCCUAAAACCUCUGUGUCCACAACUUCUGGAUUGUUCUAACUCUAGCAUUUCACUGUAGAUAUUCUUAUUCCAUAUUUCAAUUGCAAGCUGGUGACAGAUGGUGAGGGAGAACAUGUUGCCCAUGUUGUUGGAUAUGGAGAAAGUAUCAAUGAUAGUGCUCCUAAAAAUUUUGUGAAAAGAAAACUGAAAGUGUCUGGGAGUGAGCUUUAUGAAGAUGCAGAUAGCAAGUUAAGAAAGGUUGAAACACACGUGGUGGAGAAGCUAGAAAUCAGUCGUCAUGACUUGGCCAAUGCUGAUGAUGGAAUGUUAGGUGAAAUUAAUCGCUUGAAGGCAAUUAAGAUAACUGAUGGGGGGUCCGACUGCGAGGGUCAUUUUUUACCAAUUGCUGGGUUCAAGGCCCAGAAAAAUCAUGAGCCUAAGUUUAAACCUGCUGGCUUUUAGAGGUUCAUUACUUGAUGGUGGAUAUUGCUUAGUUGGGUAUUAUGUGUUAGCAUUAUGUAUUAUGUAGGUCCCUUUUUUGUAUAUCUAUGGGGCCACUGAACUAAGUAUUGUAUUUAAUUAAGUGUGAUGCUAGAUGUCCUAUGUUACAAGUACAUGUAGUGUGGUGAACUUGGUAUAUAUCUGGUAUUUGUAACCUUUUGAUAACUGUGACCUGCAGAACUGUAGUUUAAG